This 300-nucleotide unclassified non-coding RNA is filed under the name Endogonomycetes sp. RNAcentral describes it as "partial contains small subunit ribosomal RNA and internal transcribed spacer 1". The stretch from base 1 to 46 matches the Rfam family "Eukaryotic small subunit ribosomal RNA", at positions 1786 to 1831 of the family's 1831-position model. The record is from RNAcentral. Lineage: Eukaryota; Fungi; Mucoromycota; Endogonomycetes.
AAGUCGUAACAAGGUUUCCGUAGGUGAACCUGCGGAAGGAUCAUUAACAAUUGUCCAUUUUCCUUUGCAUAUGGAUGGUUCAAAUCCAUAUCCACCUUUGUGUGCACAUCAUCGACAUGUUUGCUUUGGCAGUUUGCAGAGAGAUCCUUCACCGUUUCUCCGUGGGAGGGAAAGGGGAGAGGGAGAGGGAGAGGGAGCUUUCUCCUUGCUUUUUCUCACCUCCCUUCUUCCUCCGGCGCUGCCAGAGUUUCUUCUUCUUCUUUCACGUUGACAAACUUUUCUUGCUUUUUCUCGAAGCAA